RNAcentral lists this ribosomal RNA (253 nucleotides) under uncultured bacterium. RNAcentral describes it as "partial 16S ribosomal RNA". It matches the Rfam family "Bacterial small subunit ribosomal RNA", at positions 524 to 776 of the family's 1533-position model. The record is from RNAcentral.
UACAGAGGUCCCAAGCGUUGUUCGGAUUCACUGGGCGUAAAGGGUGCGUAGGCGGUCGGGUAAGUCUGAUGUGAAAUCUCACAGCUUAACUGUGAAACUGCAUUGGAUACUAUCCGGCUAGAGGAAUGGAGGGGAGACUGGAAUACUUGGUGUAGCAGUGAAAUGCGUAGAUAUCAAGUGGAACACCAGUGGCGAAGGCGAGUCUCUGGACAUUUCCUGACGCUGAGACACGAAAGCCAGGGGAGCAAACAGG